GAUGAACGCUGGCGGCGUGCCUAAUACAUGCAAGUCGAGCGAACAGACGAGGAGCUUGCUCCUCUGACGUUAGCGGCGGACGGGUGAGUAACACGUGGAUAACCUACCUAUAAGACUGGGAUAACUUCGGGAAACCGGAGCUAAUACCGGAUAAUAUAUUGAACCGCAUGGUUCAAUAGUGAAAGACGGGUUUGCUGUCACUUAUAGAUGGAUCCGCGCCGCAUUAGCUAGUUGGUAAGGUAACGGCUUACCAAGGCAACGAUGCGUAGCCGACCUGAGAGGGGGAUCGGCCACACUGGAACUGAGACACGGUCCAGACUCCUACGGGAGGCCGCAGUAGGGAAUCUUCCGCAAUGGGCGAAAGCCUGACGGAGCAACGCCGCGUGAGUGAUGCAGGUCUUCGGAUCGUAAAACUCUGUUAUUGGUGAAGAACAAAUGUGUAAGUAACUAUGCACGUCUUGACGGUACCUAAUCAGAAAGCCACGGCUAACUACGUG
RNAcentral lists this ribosomal RNA (497 nucleotides) under uncultured bacterium. RNAcentral's name for it is "partial 16S ribosomal RNA". It matches the Rfam family "Bacterial small subunit ribosomal RNA", at positions 28 to 507 of the family's 1533-position model. The record is from RNAcentral.